UUAACAUGAUGGACUAUAGGACAGGACUGCUGCUUUUAACCAUCUGCUGCUGGACAGGUGUUGAUGGUCAGACUCUGACAGAAUCUGAACCAGUGAUUAAAAGACCUGGAGAAUCCCACAGACUGACCUGUACAGCCUCUGGAUUUAACUUUGCUGGCUCUUGGAUGGCCUGGAUCAGACAGGCUCCUGGGAAUGGACUGGAGUGGAUCGCUUAUAUAGGCACAUCUAGUUCGCCUAUCCGUUACUCCCAGUCAGUCCAGGGGAGAUUCACCAUCUCCAGAGACGACUCCAGCAGUAAACUUUAUCUACAGAUGAACAGUCUGAAGACCGAGGACACAGCAGUGUAUUACUGUGCCAGAGACACACAGUGA
This is a non-coding RNA of Sebastes umbrosus (honeycomb rockfish), 371 nucleotides long. NCBI's taxonomy places the organism in Eukaryota, Metazoa, Chordata, Actinopteri, Perciformes, Sebastidae. The record is from the annotation of a RefSeq genome assembly.